Molecule: ribosomal RNA, 776 nt
Filed under: uncultured Neocallimastigales
Lineage: Eukaryota; Fungi; Neocallimastigomycota; Neocallimastigomycetes; Neocallimastigales
Description: partial large subunit ribosomal RNA
Rfam family: Eukaryotic large subunit ribosomal RNA
Source: RNAcentral
CGCAUCUGUGCAUGCAGCAUAUCAAUAAGCGGAGGAAAAGAAACUAACAAGGAUUCCCCUAGUAACGGCGAGUGAAGCGGGAAGAGCUCAAAUUUGAAAUCUUAAAGGGUUUCCCUUUACGAAUAUGUAGUUUAAAGAAGUGUUUUCUGUUGAGGUUUUGGUAAAAGUUCUUUGGAAUAGGACAUCAUAGAGGGUGAGAAUCCCGUAUUUGACCUUUACUUUCAACUUUGUGAUACACUUUCAAAGAGUCGGAUUGUUUGGGAAUGCAGUCCAAAAUGGGUGGUAAAUUUCAUCUAAAGCUAAAUAUUGGCGAGAGACCGAUAGCGAACAAGUACCGUGAGGGAAAGAUGAAAAGAACUUUGAAAAGAGAGUUAAACAGUACGUGAAAUUGUCAAAAGGGAAGCGUUUGACACCAGUGUUGUUUUUCUGAAAAUCAAUUAAAGAACUGUUUAUGCUAAGCUGUUUAGACUUUGAUCAGCUAACUGUUUAGUUUUGAGCUUUUCUUUAAUGCACUCUUCAGUUAACAAGUCAACAUCAAUUUCUUUUGCUGUAAAAAAGCUUGAGGAAGGUGGCUUGAGAUUCGUCUUAAGUGUUUAUAGCCUCUUGCCUAUGCAGUCGGAGAGAUUGAGGUCUGCAGCGUAGAUCCUUCGGGGCUAAAUGCAUUUGUGCUAAGUUAUAGCAUUUUAUAGACAACUUGUUGACUAUGAUUUGUCUUGUAGCUUACUCGCUUAUGUUAUUUUACCUACGCUUAGGAUGUUGAGUCAUCACACAUCUCU